ACGCUUCUUUUUUAUUACUUUAUGAUUCAGAAUUUUGUAAUGCCUAUUAGAGAUGUAACGGAUGUGUCUCCUGUUGCUGUGUGUGCGCGUGCUUUUGUGAUGUUAUGUUAAUGUGCUUCAGAUGUCUUCGUCAGUAGCUGCUUUAGGUAUAAUAAAUAGAAAAAAAAGACAGAUCAGGUCCCCUUUAUUUGAUUACCCACGAACAUUUUGGCGCCCAACGUGGGGCCUGAUCUAAUGGAAAAGCAGCUAAGAAGAUCGAAAGGAAUCAGUAACCAGAAAGAUGGUCUCUCAUCCAGUCUCUUAGAUCCAAAUUUUGGAAAAGAUGGAGUCAAGAAUAUCUCAACUCCUUGCAGUCUCGAGCUAAAUGGAAACUACCUGAACUGAACAUCAAACCCGGACAGCUGGUACUCCUGAAGGAUAAUAGCAAGAGCCCCAUGGAAUGGAACUUGGCCCGAAUUGAAAGGACAUAUCCUGGAACAGAUGGACUAGUCCGUGUCGCAGACAUCAGAACCCCUAAAGGAAUUUUUCGGCGAAGUAUCAACAGACUCUGCCCACUCCCUUUCGAAGAAGGUGUUGGACAACUGUCCAACGGGGGCCGGGAUGUUCCGUCUUAGAGACGCCUUUCCCCUAUUCCAGCUGUAGUCAUCAGGAAAC
Molecule: RNA transcript, 654 nt
Organism: Argiope bruennichi
Lineage: Eukaryota; Metazoa; Arthropoda; Arachnida; Araneae; Araneidae
Exons: 2
Source: RefSeq, a predicted model, not a curated record